Molecule: ribosomal RNA, 774 nt
Filed under: uncultured Neocallimastigales
Lineage: Eukaryota; Fungi; Neocallimastigomycota; Neocallimastigomycetes; Neocallimastigales
Description: partial large subunit ribosomal RNA
Rfam family: Eukaryotic large subunit ribosomal RNA
Source: RNAcentral
UAUGUGAUCGUCUCUCGCAUAUCAAUAAGCGGAGGAAAAGAAACUAACAAGGAUUCCCCUAGUAACGGCGAGUGAAGCGGGAAGAGCUCAAAUUUGAAAUCUUAAAGGGUUUCCCUUUACGAAUUGUAGUUUAAAGAAGUGUUUUCUGUUGAGGUUUUGGUAAAAGUUCUUUGGAAUAGGACAUCAUAGAGGGUGAGAAUCCCGUAUUUGACCAUUAUUUUCAGCUGUGUGAUACGCUUUCAAAGAGUCGGAUUGUUUGGGAAUGCAGUCCAAAAUGGGUGGUAAAUUUCAUCUAAAGCUAAAUAUUGGCGAGAGACCGAUAGCGAACAAGUACCGUGAGGGAAAGAUGAAAAGAACUUUGAAAAGAGAGUUAAACAGUACGUGAAAUUGUCAAAAGGGAAGCGUUUGACACCAGUGUUGUUUUUCUGAAAAUCAAUUAAGGAACUGUUUAUGCUAAGCUGUUUAGACUUUAUCAGCUAUCUGUUUAGUUUUGAGCUUUUCUUUAAUGCACUUUUCAGUUAACAAGUCAACAUCAAUUUCUUUUGCUGUAAAAAAGCUUGAGGAAGGUGGCUUGAGAUUCGUCUUAAGUGUUUAUAGCCUCUUGCCUAUGCAGUCGGAGAGAUUGAGGUCUGCAGCGUAGAUCCUUCGGGGCUAAAUGCAUUUGUGCUAAGUUAUAGCAUUUUAUAGACAACUUGUUGACUAUGAUUUGUCUUGUAGCUUACUCGCUUAUGUUAUUUUACCUACGCUUAGGAUGUUGAUCUACAGAGCGAGAGU